RNAcentral lists this ribosomal RNA (253 nucleotides) under uncultured bacterium. Its description in RNAcentral is "partial 16S ribosomal RNA". It matches the Rfam family "Bacterial small subunit ribosomal RNA", at positions 524 to 776 of the family's 1533-position model. The record is from RNAcentral.
UACGUAGGGGGCUAGCGUUGUCCGGAUUUAUUGGGCGUAAAGAGCGUGUAGGCGGCCAGGUAGGUCCGUUGUGAAAACUCGAGGCUCAACCUCGAGACGUCGGCGGAAACCCUCUGGCUAGAGUCCGGAAGAGGAGAGUGGAAUUCCUGGUGUAGCGGUGAAAUGCGUAGAGAUCAGGAGGAACACCCAUGGCGAAGGCAGCUCUCUGGUCGACAUCUGACGCUGAGACGCGAAAGCGUGGGGAGCGAACGGG